Long non-coding RNA from Esox lucius (northern pike), 1886 nucleotides. NCBI's taxonomy places the organism in Eukaryota, Metazoa, Chordata, Actinopteri, Esociformes, Esocidae. The record is from Ensembl.
GGCGACACUUGUCUCCAAAAGCUGUCGUAAUAAAUGGAAUAUGCGGUAUGGUAAUUGACUUGACUCCUGGUGUGUUAUUCUCCUUUCCAACAAACCAACUCGGUGCCAUCGAUUGACACAGGGUGAGGUCACUGGGAAACAACAGCGCGGCCAACACUCAAACUGCCUGUCUUGUUCAGUUCCAAAGAUGUGUUGUUGAGCUGGGGGAUGCUGUUGCCUGGGUAAAUGCCAACAUGGGCCUCUUCUGAGUCCUCACCCCUGAAUGAUGAGGAAAUACAGGGUGCUCUGCAGAUGCUCAGAGAGGCCUCAACUCUAGAGGAAGAACAAGAAGCUCUCUCCCCAUUCAUGUUUUUGUUUACCGUAAUAAUUUUGAAGACACUGAAACAUUCAUGAACGAAACAGACAAAAGAGGACUUAGUGAUAAUUUUGAGCUUCUCUGUUAAUUAUUUUUGUUUAUGAGGUUACCUAUUAGCUGUAUUUAAACCAUCAUCUAAUGCUGGUUACCACACAACAAAAAUUUUAAGAUUCCAGAAAACACAAUACAAUUUGACGAGACAAAGAGACAAGGAACAUCAUUUAUUUAGCAAGAGUUAACUGUACAGUGUUUUGGAAGUGUUCACCUGGCCAUACAACAUGAUAGGAUGAAUCCAAAGCAUACAGAAUCUGGGCAAAGCUGAAUACACAGUACAUAAAGAAACAGUUUAGUUUUGACAGUGUUGGAAUGUAAUGUUUUGAAUAUUUAAUGGGGUAAUUAAAUGUUUAAUUGGCAUAUCAUUUAAUUUUGUAUUUUUAGGUUAUGCCAUUAACUUUAAGAUUUUGGGCUAUAUUAAUUGACUUUCAAUAAUGUAUGUUGUGCUCUUUUGGACCUGUUCUACUUGUAAUUUAUGCUGUUGAAUCAACUUUUAGGAUAAGGGUUAAAUUAGAUGUAACACUUAUAUUCCUCCCAACAAUGUUUUAAGUCCAUAACCACGUCAUUACUAUAUAAUAAAACAUUUGCUUGUUCCAGACACCCCUGGAAAAAUGUAUUGUUCUGUAAACAGAUGUUGACCUGACCGCUACAUGAUGCAAAUUGAAACUUGCCACCUUUCUGCAAAAGGCUAUAACUUCCAGUUACCAAUUUCAACGUUCUAGAAGAUUGCUGUUAAAUUGAACAGUGCAAGUCAGAGGAAGGAGAAACCAUUACAAUGAUUUGUAUGAAAACUGGUCAGAUCUACACAGCAGAUCCCACAGGUCUCGGCAAAGGACCUUCAGAACAGUUUAGCUGUCACUGACGUUAUUGCUAACAGGUCCACCGCACAAUGUACCUUACAAUCUAUGGAAAAUGCAUAAAUGGUAAUACUGUAAAAACUUGUGCAAAAGGAGGCCUGUUUCACUUUGUAACACGAAGAGCUCAGAUCAACUAUAUUUUAACUGCAAUAAGCAGCAUUCUCAACCAUCAACAUCCUAAUGAUGGCCAUCUACUGUAUCACAUAUAACCAAGCAAUGGCUACUUAAAGAAAAACUGACCAUGGCAGGCAUAGUGAGUAUGACUGUGCAUGUGUAUGUAUGCAUGUGUCUGUAUUAUAACUGUACUCUUUAAACCACCAGUGUCUCAUUCUUGACUGUAACCAAAACAUUGAAAACUUUUUAGAGGCACUUCAGUCUUCAAAUUUAUAUAUUUUAGUUGUAUGUUAACAAUAAAUGUUAAUCCUGAAACAAAAUGCAAUGAAACGGUACUGGAAAAGACAAUUUUGUUUUACAUAAUUGGUACAAGUAUAAUCAGACUAGAGUGCUUUUUCAACAUGUAGUCAAAGCAAAUAGACGUUUGUUUUCUAUAUGAGUGCUUGAACCUUGAACCUAGUGUUAUAUCUUGACAAAUGAUAUUGAAUUAAAUCACAUGGACUCUG